Molecule: ribosomal RNA, 401 nt
Filed under: uncultured microorganism
Description: bacterial SSU rRNA
Rfam family: Archaeal small subunit ribosomal RNA
Source: RNAcentral
GUGCAGCAGGCGCGAAAACUUCACACUGUGCGAAAGCACGAUGAGGGAAUCCCAAGUGCUUGCACGUAAGUGUAAGCUGUUUCUCUGUCUAAAACGCAGAGAGAGUAAGGGCUGGGUAAGACGGGUGCCAGCCGCCGCGGUAAUACCUGCAGCUCAAGUGGUGACCGUUAUUAUUGGGCCUAAAACGUCCGUAGCCGGUUUAAUAAAUGCCUGGGUAAAUUGUGUAGCUUAACUAUACGAAUUCCGGGUAGACUGUUAAACUUGAGACCGGGAGAAGUUAGAGGUACUCCUGGGGUAGAGGUGAAAUUCUGUAAUCCUAGGGGACCACCAGUGGCGAAGGCGUCUAACUAGAACGGGUCUGACGGUGAGGGACGAAGCCCUGGGGCGCAAACGGGAUUAGA